AAAGAAUCAUGCCCAAUUCAACCUCAAGGUCCCGUUUAGGGAGAACAAUGUUGAAUGGUGAUGCAACAUCACCGGCGUACAAGGCACGUAUUUCAGUGAAUUCUUCGGUCAAGGGACACACACAGUAGCAGUUGCAUUGCAAGUCAGUAUAUUCAGGAGCUACUCCCUGACUAGCUCACCAAGCAUAGUACACUAUACACUUCUUUUUGCAUGGAAACACUCAUGUUCAGAGGCUAGCGGUGCACGAUUUAUCUCUAGAAAGCAUAGGCAAAUAUUACCAGUGUAUACUGUAUAAUAUAUUACCUCCGUCCCAAAAUGUUUAUCCUGGAUUUAUCUAGAUACGGAUGUAUCUAACACUAAAAACACAUGUAGGUACAUUCGUACCUAAACAAAUCCAAGACAAGUAAUUCGGAACGGAGGGAGUAAAUAAGAAAAGUGUAAAUUUGUGCGCAAAAGAAAAAGAAAGAAAGACGCGGCAACAAAACUUUGAAGAUAAACUUAUUUCUUGCGUUAUGUAGCCACUCAAGUGGUCACUGUGCCCCGCAAAAAAGAUUUGGUCACUGUGAUUUUUGCCUCCAGCGGUAAUAUACUCGCACAUAAUUCAUUGCAUGUUGAUGAAAACAAGUAAAUACCCACGUAUAUCACAACCAAUAUUUGACAUGUACCAGACAACUUUUUUUUUUGCGGGGUAAAGGGAGUUUUUAUUGCAAAGUUAUAGUGUUACAAUCAAGAGACCACAAAUCCUCAAUAUAAGGUGGAGCCGACUGUAACCACACAGCUGUGGUUCUCUCGGAUCGGCUAUAAGUGGCCAAACGAUCUGCAAUACAAUUCUGACUACGGUGAAUUUUCUGUGGUAAAAACUCACUACUACUCAUCAACUCUUUAAUCUCAAGAACCAACUGCCCAUAAACUGACUUCACCAGGCCAUUGUUAGACAUGAUUGAGAGUGCUUCAGUGGAAUCUGAUUGAAUGACCACCGGAAGCGAAGUAUUUUGUAUGUACCAGACAACUGAUUACACAUAUUAUACUUCCCACAUAAGUUCACAAUGAAUUUGGUAUGUCGCUAGUGAUAAGAAUGCCAAGAGAAUGGUCUAGCAGGAGGACCUCGAUAAGCUCUGAGGAAGCACUUCGGUGUUCCUCUUCCCCACUACUCCCUCCGUCCGCGAAUAAGUGUACUUCUACCUUUUGUCUUAAGUCGAAGUUUUAAAAUUUUGAUCAAGUUUAUAGAAAGCACUGGUAGCAUAUAUGACAUCAAAUUGAUAUAUCAUGAAAGCACAUUUCAACUCGAAUCUAGUGAUACUAAUUUAGUGCCAUAAAUGCUGCUUUUUUGUCUAUAAAGUUGGUCAAAAUUUUAAAACUUUGACUUAAGACAAAAGCUAGAUGUACACUUAUUCACGGACGGAGGGAGUGUGUUAGUACCGAACAAGUUUAUGUUCUUAUUUUUUUUUUGAAUGUUGGUAGUUGAUCUACCAAAUUUAUUGAUCAGGAGAAAGAAGGUUGGUCCAGUUUAUGAGGGAAACCGAACCCAAAAACCAUACAAACAGCUUUUUGGCCAACACCACACACACCCUCGCGAGCCACGGGUCCCUCUGACCGGAUCCAUCUCCAAGACGAUGCCCCCAAGAAAGAACGCGACGCCGAAUGGCGCCGCCAUCGUCCGACCUAAACUAGAUCAAGGGUUUCCUCCGGAGCACGUCGGGGAAGGCAAGAUGAGAGCAGCUACAUCGAUGCCUUGAACGAGGGAACGACGCCCGAAAGCGCCGCCAUCGACGACUCCGGCCGCAACCGGAGUACAACUUUCGCCGGCAGCCACACCCACAUAGCCCGAACCUAGGAUCCGAUCAGCCUACACAUCAAACCACUAUCCCUGCCUCCACGGCCGAUCGCACCUCCCCGACGAGCUCGACGUGCUUCCAACCUUGCAUCCGCAUCCCCCACUGGACGGAGGAUGCAACCCCUAGCGGCGCCAUUCGUCUCCCCUCGGAAAGAUGCAACCAACACGACGCCAUUCGUCUCCCCGAGGAUGCAACGCGUGCCGGCCAUUCAUCUCCCGACGAAGGAUGCAACAACCGCGGCGAGGCCAUUCCUCUCCCUCCAGCCACCACCAUCUCGUCCUCCCGCCCGAAGCCGGGUCAAGCUCACCGAACCACCAAACAGGAGGAUGCAACACCAGGCGAGGUGCCAUUCAUCUCCCACAGCCUCGCCUGCACGGCCAGCAGAAACCCGGAUCUUCAAAGGCUGGCUCGAGGUGAAUUAAAUCAUUCUUGGUUAUCCAGUUAUUGCACAACACUGUACAUUCAAUCUUUUCAAAGUUUCAUCAAAUGAUGCUAUUGCAAUGUGGAAGCACUGCGAUGCAGCCCUGUCAUUGCACCAGUAAUCUUCUCAUUCGAGUUUCUAAGCUGUAAGCUCGCAGUCCUCCUCGUCCUAAGCUUUGGCAUGAAGAAGGUGCCCAGCAUUGUAUCAAGGCCUUCGGCAUUGUACUUCACAUACUUGCUCGCACUGAUGUCCUCCUCAACAAGCGGACCGUAGUUUUGCGUGAAGCGGUCAAGACGCCGUAUGUCAUCCAAACGUGGUAACCUAUCGACACCGGACCACCGGUGGGUCGAACGACAAUGCACCACCCAGGACCAGGGGACGCACAAAUCGCAUGGGAGUUUAAACGACGGCAUGAUUCUGGUUGGCCGGUCAGUGGACACAUCGCCGACGUGUCAUGGCGUCGACGUCCGUCUUCUUCUAGCAUGAGCACGAGCAUGACCGCCACCUCUCAACUGAUAGAGGUUUUGCUCUGCUGAUUGCUGAAUGGAUGGACAGAACAGCGUCUCGUGGUGAGCCGAAAAACGUUGCACUCCGUGGGCCCGACUCCCAUGCACGCACAAAGCGGACCCCACGCCCCACGACGCAAAGUCAUGUAACACCGGGGGCCACAUGAUCAUCGGCUUUAUGGGCCCAAAGAGUGCGGCGGGCGAGCCAGACAACCGCUCAGUCGCGAUCCGGAGGAUUUUUGGCUUCAGAAUUCUGAUCUUCGGGUCACGCCAGAGUCACCGAGAGCAUCUCUAGCAGACUCAUAAAAGAGCGAAACCCGUAUAAUUUCAACGAGUAUACGGAUUCAGUCUUUUUUUUAUUAGAAUAAACAUCGUGUUUGUGGCCGAUGUCGUGGUUCUAAGCCUGACAAUAAUGUAGGGGGUAGGUAUGGAGAGGCAAGAUUUUAGCUAUGGAGAAGUUGUAAGCACACGAGGUUUACGAGUUCAGGCCCUUCUCGGAGGAAGUAAUAGCCCUACGUCUCGGAGCCCGGAGGCGGUCGACUGGAUUAUGCGUGUAUGAAUUACAGGGGUGCGAACCCUUUACACUGAGGAGGGGGUGGCUUAUAUAGAGUUCGCCGGACCCCUCCAGCCCUCGGUUAUGCAGGGUUUAAAAUACAUUAAGGUCGGACGUUACUGCUAACGCCCUUAAUAAAGUGCUAUGAUGACCAUAAAAGCUACUUAAUAAUCGAUCGUUAGUGUGUGGAGUGCCUUUAGGUCUUCUCCCCGUCGAGUGGUUUGGUCUUGGUCGAGUGAUCACUUCUUGGUCGAGUGUCUUCGAGUCUGUCGAGUGGAACACCUCCAAGUCGAUUGAAAGGUGAUUUCUUCUAGAGAUGUCCUUGGGUAGGCAGUUUGGACAGGUCCAUGACCCUACCCUAGAUACAUAGCUUCAUCAUUAGCCCCCGAAUGGAUCGAGAUUUGAGUGGGGAAGGAGUUGAGAAUUUCCCGGACUCAUUUUUCAUGCCUUGAGCAUAUCUGGUUUCGGAUCAAUGAACCUGAGUGAUGACAGCAACUUCCUUUUCAGUCGCCUUGAUCCAUUCUUAGUUUUUUUUGUCGAGUGAGUUUCUUUACUUGAUAGGCUCCGAGUGAUGGUGUGGAGGAGAUCUUCGGUCUGACAAGUUGUUCUGCUGCCCGCAGAUUUCACGGGAUCCGAAUUUUGGAAAGCGCGCGGGACGGGGGAGGCCGCAGUAAUCGGAUGGGAUAGGGCGGAGCCGCCUCGAUCCCCGCGCCACCUUUUUCGUCACGUAUCGCGCGCGCGAUUGAUACGGGAUUUGACAGGACCGCCCGAGCCUACCAGUCAGCCACUCAGAAGCGGCCUCAUAUAAGGCGUCGGACCGGGGUCUCUCGAACAGUGUGUCCUCAUUAUCUCUUCUCCUCUUCAGGCUCCUUCGUCGCGCUCGCUCUCGCCCCAGCGCCACCGUUCCGUACGCGUCUCGCCGGCGACGAUGGGAAAGGAGAAGACGGCGGCUCUAGAGCGGGCGAAGAAGGCGGCGGCAAGGGCGAAGGGGAAGGCGACCAGUCAGGGUGGAUCUUCGCGAACCGGCCUGCCGAAGGGCUGGAUCCAGGGCGACUGGAUCCGCUCGACGAUCACCCAAGAGGACCUUGACGACCUAGCCGAGGGAGGGCUGAUUCCCUAUGAAUCGGCGCGGCUUCCGGGGAAGGAAUCCGAGCCGCAACCUCGGGAGGGUGAGCAUGUUCUCCUUGCCACCCACGUCGACCGUGGAUUUUCCUUGCCUCCUCACCCUUUCUUUCGGGGAUUUCUGAACUUCUUUGGGGCUCAACUCCACCACUUCACUCCCAACACAAUCGUUUAUCUUGCCGCUUUCAUUUCUUUGUGUGAGAAUUUCCUGGGUUGUUGGCCUCACUGGGGCCUUUUCAAGCACAUUUUCACUUGUCGCUCUCAGACGGUGAAAAAGGCCAAUCCGAGUGACGAGAGGACUCAAGUGAUUCAGAUGUGUGGGGGUCUUGGUGUUCGGAUGAGAGGGAAAAGUUCCUUUCCGGCCAUGAUUCUUCCCGACUCGGUUCGCGGAUGGCAGUCGACCUGGUUUUACUGCAAAGACCAGUCGACUGGCCUCCCUCCCUUUACCAUGGACCGAGUGAGGAAACCCUCCCCUUUGAAGGUGCUCCCGGAGGAGAAGGCGCAGGUGAGGGUGCUGGUCGAGCGAGUGGUCCAGAUUAUCCGUGACGGGGUCACCGGUAUGGAUCUCUUGGAGGUCUUCCUUCAGCGGCGCAUCCAGCCUCUUCAAGCUCGAGACCAUCCGAUGUGGAUGUAUUCGGGUCUUGAAGACUCCACUCGGGUUCACCCGGAGGAGGUCGAUGACGAUACACUGGAGAAGUGGCUGUCGGGCAUGACCGGAAACAAGGACAACCCCAGGGGAGCCAGGAGAGUUCCUCCAUUCGACCAGUCCCAUGUACCAGAGAAGGUCUGAUUCUGAGCUUUUGUUUGUAAUCUGAAUUCACUCGCGCAGCUGCCCAUACUGCGUCGACUGACUUUGUUCUCCCUGCUUUCUUUCAGGCCAUUAUUGAAAUGUAUUCAAUGCCCAACGGAGAGCAAGAGCAGGACCCGGAAGGAGAGGCGAGCGGCGGCGACAGUGACGAAUGGGAUUCUGACGGUGGAGGGGACGAAGAAAGCGACGACCUAAGUGACGAAGAAGAAGUCGAGUUGCCUCCUCACAGGGAGAGGCGGUCCAAACUUGACCAAGAACGACCGAGCGCCCGUGAAAAGGCGAUUGCUCAAGCUGGUCAGUCUUUAAAGCGUCCUCGGACCUCUUCGCUGACUCCAACUGAAAAAACGUCAAAGCAUCCCAAAGUCGCAGAGCCGAAGCUUCGUAAGGCGUUGCCGAAGAUCAAGAUUGACAUCCCCGUCGCUUCUGCGUGAGUGUCUCCCUUUAUAUUCACUCGACGCCCCGUGCUGUUUGUUUUUCUUGUUUUAACCGGACGAACUUUGGAACUGGCAGCGCUGCUACUUCCGGGACCUCAGCUUACAGGGACGAUGAUGAGGUAAUGGAGGAUGCGGUCACUUCUAAUCUGGGUAUGAUUUCUGCCAUUUUGUCUUUAUUUGGUAGACUCAACUGCAAUGUGCACCAUUGGGUGAUGUGAUUUUGGCGAUUGAACUUUUGCACAGCUCCCAACAUUAUCGACCUCCCCGAUGAUGAUGAAGAGCCCGAGAGGCCUUUGACGAGGAAGAAUAGGCAAGCUCCUGCGGGCAAGGUGUCACAGUCGACGCCGAGGGCGGAACCAGUCGUUCAGGACACUGGCGACGCCAAUCGGGGUUCUGUUACCUUCGCCGUGCCACUGUCGAGUGCCUUGCCUUCUUCGUCGACUGCUCAGGCCCCUAUCGACCCACCUUUAGUUUUUGCGACCCAUCAUGUCCCAGAGGACGAAGUGAAUGCUGCCAGGGAAGCCAUACGCUAGGCGGGCAUCAUGAUGGAGAAGAUGAAGACGGUGCGGGACGCCAGUCAGGCCGCCUACGACGCCAGCUCGGCUCUCCAAAGCAAUGUUCAGGUUAGUUGGUCACCGCUUGUUCUGUUAGGAUAUGCUAUCUGAAGAUUCUUUCCGAAAAUCUUUGCAUCUGUACGCCCACUGGGUGCGUCGAUUGAAUUUAUGAACUAGUGGGGGCACGCUGAGUGCAUCCACCGGGUGUAGUCCCCGAGACUAUGAUGGACUGCUGGCAGUCGACUGUAGUCUUUGUAUUUUGUCGACUGUAAACCGAACUGGUAGUUUGUCUCUUCCACUCGGUCUGAUCGAGUGGGAUCAGAACCGGUGGGGGCACGCCAAGUGCACCCACUGGGUGUAGUCCCCGAGACCGCGGUCGACUGCUGGCAGUCGACUGUCGUCUGAGUUCUAUUUUCUCUCCUCUUUUUUUACUCCCUGCACUCGACUCCGGCGGGCCGGUCGAAUGGGAUCAGAACCGGUGGGGGCACGCAAAGUGCACCCACUGGGUGUAGUCCCCGAGACUAUGGUGGACUACGGGCAGUCGACCGUAGUCUUAGUACUUAUUGUCUUUGUCGUUUUUCGCUGUAAAAUAACUUCUCCUCUUUGAUUUCAGAAAUCUUGUGAUCUUGGAGCUCGCUUUGCUGACUUAGAGAAACAGCAGAUCCAACUGAACCUUGACUUGGAGCUGGCCAAGACAGAGCUGCAAAAGGUCAAGGACGGCGCCACUGGUAAGACGAGUUUGUCGACUGGUCUGUCUUAGGCUUGAGUACCCUUCUGCUCUUUCUGAAUUAAGCAUCAUUUCUUUGCAGAAAAACUAAGAGAAGCUCUGGCGAAGAAGGAUCAGGAUUUGGCUGCUGCUCGAAAGGAGGCUGACGACAGAACCGCUCUGGCCGAACAGAAACUGGCUUCGGUCGGCCAGUUGGAAGAAAAGAAUACCAAGAUGAAAUCUGCUCUGAACGAAGCCAACAAGGAGUGCACGCGCUGGAAGAAGGACAAUCUCAACCUGUGCGAGAAGAUGGAAGGCAUCGCUCGCAGGAGGGACGAUCUGGAGAGCUAUCUGAGGAGCCUUGCCAAGAAGUUGUUCAUCAAGCUUGAAGGUGCACAUUUUGUUCCGACUGAUUUUUUUUGUGUCGACUCAGCGUACGAAAAUUGACUUAUCCUUGGAUCGUGAAUGCAGAGUUUUGCCAGAACUUCGAGGAGGAGACUGGGCGGAUUGAGCCAGCUUUGGACCCAAUCAAUUCUCCCGUGAAAGGUGAAACUGCCAUGAAUCUGCUCCGACUGGAAUCCCGCAUCGACGGUGUCGUGGACUACUUGGCUCGACUGAAGGUCGCCAUGUCACGGAUCGACCCGGCACUUUGGCCAGAGGCCACGCUCCAGAAUGACCUUGAGUCCCUGAUGACUCGACUUAACGAGAUCCCUGACCGAGUGCAGGAGUGGAAGAAAUCUUCUGCCCGGUGUGGUGCUGAUGUGGCUCUGUCUUUGGUUCAUGUCCAUUGCAAGGAGGUGCGACAAGAUAAGCUGGCAGCAAUCAAGGUCGCCAACACCCAUAAGCAUGACUUCCGAUCUUUUAUGGAGACUUUCAUCGCUGCAGCCACUCGGAUCGCCGACGGCGUCGACCUAGACGAGUUCGUCGAGCCUGCUAGUCCUCCUCCCGCGGAGUGAACAAACUUUUAUGCCUCACCUUAAAUUUGCCUCGGAAUGCCGAGUGGUUUUUGUAACCGUUAAACUCUUUCGGGCUGAAUGCCCGAGCACUUCGAUCUGUGGUCCGGAACCUUUAGGAUUUAUCUGAACUUGGUUUAUCGUUGAAUGUCUUCAUGAAUCCCCCACCGAGUGAACUCGUUCUCCAUUCGAGACGACUUUUGUAUUUGUAGCGCAGCUCCGAGAAGAAGGAAACAGUCGACCUGCACCUGGUUGCCCUUGCGGGUCGGCGAUGGAGUGCGCAUUGUAUUUGUGGCGAAGCUCCUCAGUAGAAGGUGGCAGUAGUCCUGCACCUCGUCGUCCUUGCGGAGUGGGAUGGAGCGCACAUUGUAUUUGUGGCGAAGCUCUCCAGGAGAAGGCGGCAGUCGACCUGCACCUCGUUACUGCAGAGCAGGAUCUAGCGCAUGUUGUAUUUGUGGCGAAGCUCUCCAGGAGAAGGCGGCAGUCGACCUGCACCUCGCUACUGCAGAGCGGGAUGGAGCACACGUUGUAUUUGUGGCGAAGCUCUCAAGGAGAAGGCGGCAGUCGACCUGCACCUCGUCGUCCUUGAGGAUUGCAAUGUGUUUCGUACUUAGGCGAGUACUGGACUGCAGCUAAGCCCCCGAGUGGGAGGCUGGCUCGCCACUCGGUAGGAUUUUCAAACACUUAGGCGAGUACUGGACUGUAGCUAAGCCCCCGAGCGGGAGGGUCGCUCACCGCUCGGUAGGAUUUUCAAACACUUAGGCGAGUACUGGACUUCAGCUAAGCCCCCGAGCGGGAGGGUCGCUCACCGCUCGGUAGGAUUUUCAAACACUUAGGCGAGUACUGGACUGCAGCUAAGCCCCCGAGUGGGAGGUUUGCUCACCACUCGGUAGGGUUUUCAAACACUCAGGCGAGUACUGGACUGCAGCUAAGCNNNNNNNNNNNNNNNNNNNNNNNNNNNNNNNNNNNNNNNNNNNNNNNNNNNNNNNNNNNNNNNNNNNNNNNNNNNNNNNNNNNNNNNNNNNNNNNNNNNNNNNNNNNNNNNNNNNNNNNNNNNNNNNNNNNNNNNNNNNNNNNNNNNNNNNNNNNNNNNNNNNNNNNNNNNNNNNNNNNNNNNNNNNNNNNNNNNNNNNNNNNNNNNNNNNNNNNNNNNNNNNNNNNNNNNNNNNNNNNNNNNNNNNNNNNNNNNNNNNNNNNNNNNNNNNNNNNNNNNNNNNNNNNNNNNNNNNNNNNNNNNNNNNNNNNNNNNNNNNNNNNNNNNNNNNNNNNNNNNNNNNNNNNNNNNNNNNNNNNNNNNNNNNNNNNNNNNNNNNNNNNNNNNNNNNNNNNNNNNNNNNNNNNNNNNNNNNNNNNNNNNNNNNNNNNNGGUAGGAUUUUUUUUUCAAACUUAGGCGAGUACUAGACUGCAGCUAAGCCCCCGAGUGGGAUGUUUGCUCUCCACUCGGUAGGAUUUUUUUCAAACUUAGGCGAGUACUGGACUGCAGCUAAGCCCCCGAGUGGGAGGUUUGCUCUCCACUCGGUAGGAUUUUUUUCAAACUUAGGCGAGUACUGGACAACAGCUAAGCCCCCGAGCGGGAGGCUGGCUCACCACUCGGUAGGAUUUUCAAAUACUUAGGUGAAACGGGUUCGCAGCUAAGCCCCCGAGUGGGAGGCUGGCUCACCACUCGGUAGGAGAUUAUUUUUACAAACUUAGGCGAAACGGAUUCGCGGCUAAGCCACCCACUGGGGGAUUUCUCACGCAAACAAAAACAAUACAAUCCCUGGGAAAAUUAUAACACUCUUGUCUUUGAUAAAUAAACUACAGGAGUUUUUCUUAUUACAUCUCAUCCGAGUGAGAAUUCAGGUAUAAAAGGGGCGGAGCAGCUCCGCAUUCCAGGCUCGUGGCUCAUCAAUCUGGCGAUCGACAUUAUAGAGGUGGUACGCUCCAUUGUGGAGGACUCUGGUGACUAUGAAGGGGCCUUCCUAAGUAGGAGCGAGUUUGUGUGGUUUCUGCUGAUCCACUCGGAGGACUAAGUCUCCUUCUUGGAAGACUCGACUCUUCACAUUUCUGGCAUGGAAUCGACACAAGUCUUGCUGAUAGAUGGUCGAUCGGAUCAUGGCCAUUUCUAUUUCUUCUUCCAAGAGGUCGACUGCGUCCUGCCGGGCUUGUUCUGCUUCUUCUUCAGAGUAGAGCUCGACUCGGGGGGCGUUGUGAAGCAUGUCACUCGGCAAGACUGCUUCGGCUCCGUAGACCAGAAAGAAUGGGGUUCUUCCGGUCGAUUGGUUCGGGGUUGUCCUCAAUCCCCAAAGAACUGAUGGAAGCUCGUCGACCCAUGCUCCUACUGCGUGCUUGAGAUCGUGCAUCAAUCGAGGUUUCAGUUCUUUGAGAAUUAAGCCGUUCGCUCUUUCCACUUGUCCGUUCGACUGGGGGUGAGCGACCGAAGCGUAGUCGACUCGUGUUCCCUGAGAGGCGCAAAAGGCCCUGGAUUUGUCGGAAUCGAAGUUUGACCCAUUGUUAGUGAUGAUGCUGUGCGGAACUCCAUAUCUGAAUAUCAACUCUCUGAUGAAACUGAUAGAAGUGCAAGCAUCAAGAUUCUUGAUAGGCUUAGCUUCAAUCCAUUUGGUGAACUUGUCGACUGCUACUAGCACAUGAGUGAAGCCGCUCCUGCCUGUUCUCAGUGGUCCAACCAUGCCCAGCCCCCAAACAGCGAAGGGCCAGAUGAGUGGAAUGGUUUCAGGGCUGACGGGGGCUUGUGCGACAUAUUGGAGUAAUACUGACAUCCUUCACAUUUGUCGACUAUCUCUUUCGCCAUUUCAUUUGCUCUUGGCCAGUAGAAUCCCGCUCGGUAUGCUUUAGCCACAAUGGUCCGAGAGGACGCAUGAUGACCACAGGUCCCCGAGUGGAUAUCAUCAAGGAUCAUCUGACCUUCUUCUGGUGUAAUACACUUCUGACUGACUCCGGUCGCGCUUUCUCUAUAUAACUGUCCUUUUAUGAUUGUAAAGGCCUUGGAUCGACGGACGAUCUGUCGAGCCUCUUCUUCAUCUUCUGGGAGCUCUUUCCUUAGGAUGUACGCAAUGUACGGUACUGUCCAGUCGGGAGUGAUGACCAAGACUUCCAUGAUCAGGUCGACCACAGCUGGAACUUCAACUUCAGUCGGAUCUGUGGCACUUUUUGGCCGCGGGGCCUCUUCAGUGAAGGGAUCCUCCUGAACUGAUGGUGUGUGGAUGUGUUCCAAAAACACAUUGUUGGGAAUGGCUUCUCUUUUGGAACCUAUUUUUGCCAAAUCAUCAGCUGCUUGAUUUUUUAGUUGGGGUAUGUGAUGAAGUUCUAACCCCUCGAAUUUCUUCUCCAGCUUUCUCACUGCAUUGCAAUAACCAGUCAUGGCUGGACUUCUGACGUCCCACUCCUUCAUCACCUGAUUAACCACCAAAUCUGAGUCGCCAUAGACCAUGAGGCGACGGACGCCGAGUGAAAUGGCCAUGCGCAACCCAUAUAAAAGUGCUUCAUAUUCUGCCUCGUUAUUUGAGAAUCAAAGUGGAUUUGAAGAACAUAUCUGAGCUUAUCUCCUCGGGGGGAAACCAACACCACUCCGGCACCGGAACCAUUCAGCAUCUUGGAUCCGUCGAAGAACAUGGUCCAAUGCUCCGAGUGAACCUGAGUCGGCAGUUGCUGUUCAAUCCACUCGGCGACAAAAUCCGCGAUUGCCUGGGACUUGAUAGUUUUCUUUGCCUCAAACUUGAUAUCUAGAGGAAGGAGUUCAAUCGCCCAUUUUGCCACUCGACCAGUUGCAUCUCUGUUAUGCAGGAUCUCUAACAAUGGAGCGUCGCUGACGACUGUAAUGGAAUGAUCAGAGAAGUAGUGAGCAACUUUCUUUGUGGUCAUAUAAAUCCCAUAUACAAGCUUCUGAUAAUGAGGAUAUCUUUGCUUCGACGGGGUCAAAACUUCAGAAAUAUAAUAUACUGGGCGCUGAACUUUGAAGGCUUUUCCUUCUUCUUCCCGCUCGACCGUAAGUACCGUACUGACGACUUGUCUGUGGCUGCGAUGUAAAGCAGCAAAGGCUCCUUGCUGAUUGGGGCAGCAAGCACCGGCUGGGUGGAGAGCAGAGCUUUGAGCUCUGCAAACGCUGCAUCAGCUUCAGGAGUCCACUCGAACUUGUCGGACUGCUUCAUCAAUCGGUAAAGAGGCAAUGCCUUUUCACCGAGACGAGAUAUGAAUCGACUUAAAGCGGCCAAGCAGCCAGUAAGCUUCUGGACGUCGUGCACUCGCACAGGACUUUUCAUUCAGACUAUAGUACCGACUUUUUCUGGAUUGGCGUCGAUUCCCCGUUCGGAAACGAGAAAACCGAGUAAUUUUCCGCCAGGAACUUCGAAUGUGCACUUUGAUGGAUUAAGCUUGAUAUCAUACCUCCUGAGGUUGGCAAAGGUUUCAGCAAGGUCAGUCAGCAGGUCGGAACCUUUCCGUGACUUGACCACAAUAUCAUCCAUGUAUGCUUCCACAUUAAGACUGAUUUGAGUGACCAGACACUUCUGAAUCAUCCUCAUGAAUGUGGCUCCGGCAUUCUUGAGGCCGAACGGCAUGGUAACAUAACAGAAGCACCUGAAUAGAGUGAUAAAAGCUGUUUUGAUCUCGUCAGGUCCAUACAGACGGAUCUGAUGGUACCCAAAAUAGGUGUCUAAAAAAUACAGUCGCUCACACCUCGCAGUCGAGUCGACUAUCUGGUCGAUGCGGGGGAGAGGAAAAUGAUCUUUCGGGCAGGCCCGAUUGAUAUGUUUAAAGUCAAUGCACAUGUGAAAUGACUUGUCCUUCUUGGGGACCAUGACAAUGUUGGCGAGCCACUCGGAGUGGUAGAUUUCUCGGAUGAACUCUGCUGCUAAGAGCCGAGCCACCUCGUCGCCAAUAGCCUUUCUCUUCUGGACGGCGGACCGUCAGAGAUGCUCUUUGACAGGUUUUAUUUUUGAGUCGACUCUUAGGCGGUGCUCAGCCAGCUCCCUAGGAACACCCGACAUGUCAGAAGGCUUCCAUGCAAAAAUGUCCCAGUUCUCACGGAGGAACUGGAUGAGCACUUCUUCCUAUUUGGAGUCGAGUGUCGUUGAGAUAUGAGUCGGAGCAGCGCUGGGAUCGGUCGGGUGAAUGUGAGCUGUCUUCGUUUCGCCAGACGACUGAAAAGCUGAUUCUGUAGCGGGCUUCUUGGCUCGCAACAAAUCACUCGGGUCUGCAGUCUUCUGGUAUUCCUGAAGCUCCACCACUGCCAUCUGAGCAUCAGCGAUCUUUGAACCUUUCUAAAAACAUUCUUCUGCUUUCUUCUGAUUGCCCGUAACAGUGAUCACACCUUUGGGGCCAGGCAUCUUCAAUUUGAGAUACACAUAACACGGUCGGGCCAUGAAGCGUGCAUAAGCCGGCCUGCCCAAAAUAGCGUGAUAGGCACUCUGGAAGUUUACAACUUCAAACGUCAACUUUUCUUUGCGGUAAUUCUUGGAAUCACCAAAAACCACAUCCAGAGCAAUCUAGCCGAGUGAUUCAGCCUUCUUCCCAGGAAUGACUCCAUGGAAACUCAUGUUGCUGGUACUGAGUCUGGACAUCGGAAUGCCCAUCCCUUUCAACGUCUCAGCAUAUAGUAUGUUCAAACCACUGCCACCAUCCAUCAAGACUUUGGUCAGUCGAGUGCCUUCAACAACUAGGUCGACCACCAAAGCUUGCCUCCCGGGGGUGGCAAUGUGCGUUGGGUGAUUUGACCGGUCGAAUGUGAUGGCAUUCUGAGACCACUUCAGAUAACUUGGUGUCGCUGGAGCAACCAUAUUCACCUCUCGGUUGAUAACUUUCAGUCGACUUUUGCUUUCAACAUCAGCAAAAAUCAUCAAGGUGGAAUUGACCUGGGGGUAUCCAUCGUCACUAUCUUCCUUGUCCUCAAUUUUGUCCGACUCCUUUUCCUUAUCUUUGGGCUGCUUGCCCUGAAACUGCUGGAUCAAGAGUCGACACUAUCGAGUGGUAUGUUUCGGGUAAAUGAAAUUACCCUCUUCAUCUUUCUUGGUGUGGAUGUGACAUGGCAAAUCCAACACAUCAUUUCCGUCCUGGUCUUUAACUUUCUUGGGGUUCCAAGGUCCUUUGGGUUUCCCCUUAAACUUUCCUUGAGUUACAGCCAAGGCUUCCCCAGGAGCAGCUGGCUCGGCUUUCCGCUUCUGUUUCCGAUUGGAAUUUCCUCCGGUUUCUUGAGCGACUGACUUGAGCUUGCCACUCCUGAGUGGAUCCUCAUCUUCACCAUUAGCGUACUUGGUGGCAAUCUCCAUCAUCCGAUUCAGAGACAUAUCUCCGGUUCCACCGAAUUUCAGAUUCAGCUCUUUGUACUUGACGCCUUCUUUGAAGGCACAGACUGCUUGGUGGUCAGGCACAUUCUCUACCGUGUGAUGUAACGUGAUCCAUCUCUGGAUGUAAUCCCUCAAAGUUUUAUUCGGCUUCUGCACGCAAGACCGCAGUUCCGUCAGCCUUGCCGGUCACUUGCAUGUUCCUUCAAACAUGGUGACAAACACUCGGGCGAGGUCUUCCCAAGUGUAAAUGCUACUGGGUGCUAACUGAUUCAGCCACGCUCUGUCCGAGCCCUCCAACAUGAGAGGUAGGUGUUUCAUGGCCACUUCAUCAUUGCCGCCACCAAUCUGGACGGCCACUCGGUAGUCUUCAAGCCAAGUAUCGGGCUUGGACUCACCAGUGAACUUACUGACUCCAGUCGCCAACCUGAAGUUGGGAGGAAUCACAGCGGCCCUGAUGGCUUUACUAAAGCACUCUGGCCCCGAAACACGUACUCUGCUGCUGGUAGGUGCAUCUCCGUCGUGACCUUCUCGGUGAGCUCUGUUCCUGUCGACCAAACCUUGAACGAGAAUGGAUCUCGCAUCAAAGCCUGGUUCCCUGGGGUCGACUGGAAUCCUUCGCCCAACGCUAUGAGGGCGCCUGUCAUCUUGCUGUCGAGGCGCAUACGACCCGCUCCUCGGGGGAGGGGUGGGCACUCGACGUCGAUCAUCACGAUCGAAUCGGUGAUCGUACUGUUCAUGGUUCUCGUACUGAUUGCGCUGGUCUCCACGUCCCUCACGCCUCGGGGGCGAUCUUGGGCUAUGAGCUGACUGGACUGUGUCUGCAGCAACGGAUCUGCUAUGAAUCAUGUUCUGCGACUGAGAAACAGCGGAAUUCUGGUCUCCUGCUGCCCGAAGUAACGCUCUGAUAUGCAGCAACCUCUGCCAGCCUCCGACUGGAAAGGCUGAAUCGACUCUGCUAUGCGGGCUGCAGCUGCUAAAUUCUGAAUCGAAGUUCGAUAUACUUGCGGGGGCGGAAAGAGCUGACGUCGACUGGAUUCUGGAACCCGUUGUCGCGCACGCUCGUCGAGUGCUUGCUGGAGGUUCUCCAGUCGAGCGCGCUCGGCCAAGUUUGCCAGGCGCACGUCCUCCAAGGCACGAGCCUCUGGGGUUUCUCCAACGAUAGGAGUGUGCAGUGCAUCCAUGUUCCGGCGAUGAAGUUCUUCUUUCUGCAGCGACGUGAGAGGCUCGGGGAGAUAUUCCUCAUGGGGACGUGACGGGUCGCCUCCACCUGCGCCUCCGUUGGUGCGGGGAAAACCGGGAGGACUGGGUGGUCCAUCGACCAUCAGAACCUCCGCCGCCGGAUCACUGCUGUCGCACUCAGAUGCGGUCUCUGCGGAGCCAGUCGACAGGUCGAACAGGCCGUAGAGGGAUUUGUCGGGCUCGAUCGCCGCGACUUGAGGGGUGGCCGACUGGCGUGCCACCGCGUGUCUCACCCACCGCUGAAGUCUCGACUGACCGGAGCGCUUGCGCCGGCGGGAAACAGGGAGGGAAGACAACACAGGAGCCAACCGGUAGGGGGUCGACGGUUGCCGCAAGAGAACGACGCGGACGCACGCGCUAAAGUGCGUUGCCCCGCGAACGGGGAGUGCGUCCACGUCGAGCGGAGCCUCCUGAAGCCAAGCGUAGUCGUCGGCGAUGAACGUGAGCGCGCCGAGACGGAUCUCGCAGCCCUCCACCAAAACUCCGCCAGAAACCAUGAUGAUUUGGAUCGGAAAAGAUCGCAACUCCUCCAACAAAUCACUAAAACACCGGCCCCACGGUGGGCGCCAACUGUCGUGGUUCUAAGCCUGACAGUAAUAUAGGAGGGUAGGUAUGGAGAGGCAAGAUCUUAGCUAUGGAGAAGUUGUAAGCACACGAGGUUUACGAGUUCAGGCCUUUCUUGGAGUAAGUAAUAGCCCUACGUCUCGGAGCCCAGAGGUGGUCGACUGGAUUAUGAGUGUAUGAAUUACAGGCGUGCGAACCCUUUACACUGAGGAGGGGGGGUGGCUUAUAUAGAGUUCGCCGGACCCCUCCGGCCCUCAGUUAUGCAGGGUUUAAAAUACAUUAAGGUCGGGCGUUACUGGUAACGCCCUUAAUAAAGUGCUAUGAUGACCAUAAAAGCUACUUAAUAACCGACCGUUAGCGUGCGGAGUGCCUUUAGGUCUUCUCUCCGUCGAGUGGUUUGGUCUUGGUCGAGUGAUCACUUCUUGGUCGAGUGUCUUCGAGUCUGUCGAGUGGAACACCUCCAAGUCGAUUGAAAGGUGAUUUCUUCUAGAGAUGUCCUUGGGUAGGGCAGUUUGGACAGGUCCAUGACCCUACCCUAGGUACAUAGCUUCAUCAGCCGGUCCGUAAAAAAUUUACCGUGACCUGGAAAGUCCCUCUCCACCACUAUAUAUGUGGUUUCAUCUUUCGAAUAUGGGCCAAACUCUAUCCGCCUCCUUCGCCGCUCCGCCACGAUUCCCCUCCUUCUUCGCCCCAAUUUCUCGCCGUCGGCGAGCCUAAAAAAGGCCUAGCGACCCUUGGAUAGAUGGCUACGGGGAUGACGAGGAGCGCCGCCGCCGCCGCACGGAAGCGGGGAACGCGGAGGUGGCUCAACCACGGGAGCCGGCCGCCGCCGACAUUCGAACGCCGUGAGCUCGUCGAGUACGAGCGCGAGGUCGCGGUCCGCCGUCACGCCUCCUCCGGACCCUCUGCCGCGGGGAGCUCGUACGUGGGCGCCUCGAGCUCGCGGCUCACUCCGGUCAAGAGAGAGCCGGAGGAGCUUGGGCCGCUCACUGUCAAGCUCGAGGACGACGCGCCGACGCCGCUGCGUCGAGGAGUGGUCGGCCCCGAGGACUACCUCCCCCCGGGGCAGGAGGAGCACCUAGAGCGCGUCGUCAUGGAGUGCUCGGGGAGGGAAGAGGAGGAGGUCAACGCGCCGCCGCCGCCGCGUCGAGGAGUGGUCGGCCCCGAGGACUACCUCCCCCCGGGGCAGGAGGAGCACCUAGAGCGCGUUGUCAUGGAGUGCUCAGGGAGGGAAGAGGAGGAGGCCGUCGCGCGCCGCCGCCGCGAGCUCGAGUACGACCAGAUCUUCCUCCAGCAGGCGUCGCCGCGUCGGAGGCGCACGUGUCCAAGGAGGCCGAGCAGGCCAAGGGCAUCAUCGACCUCGACUCUGAUGAGGACUGAGCUCCUCCGGCUCCUCCGCCGUGUCGUCGCCGCCGCGAGCUCGUCGAUUUUGGUAGCGUAGGCUCGUGUAUGCUGCACGGCCCGCAGAUUCCCCCCUAGUAGUACAAUGUAGUAUAAAUGAUGAACUAUGUAUGAUUAAUGGAGUACGAUGAUGAACUAUGUAUGAUCAAUGUCGUUGCAAGUUUCUCCCGCGGAUACUUUUUAAAAAAAUUACAGUUUCAUAUACAGGGUCUGAUCUGCGGCGCACAAAUUCGCCCCGCAAAACAUAUCUGCAGCGCACGAAUUCGCCCCGUAAAACAAAUCUGCAGCGAACUGCAAACGUAUUUUGCGGGUCAGCAUUAUACGAGGUCUGCUAGAGAUGCUCUGAGUAACACAAAAGGUAAACAGUGCAGCACAAGGAUUCAUUGUGACAUACAAAUCCUACGUCGUUUUGGUUUUUAAGAAACAGGAAUCUUAAAUUAACACCCAAGUUAACCUAUGGUAGUGAUGAAAUGUUUGCUGGCCGUUGCAUCUUGUCCCCAUCUAUGUCAGUUACUGUGCUGUGAGGGGGUGCAACGCAUGUGGAUAUUCUUGCCUCCGAUGUUUGGGUAGCCCCCAUAUGUGGACCGCCGCACCUUAAUCUUUUUUAACUUUUGUUUUGUUGUUAUAAACAAUGGCAGCCUUAGAUCCCCAAUGCACAAUCAUUUGCUUUGACGGCACGUUGAAAUGUGGGGCCAUGUUUAGAUUGUUGGGCAAGAACGUACACUUUGACUUAGUUUCAAAUUUCGUCGCUUGUUUUCAUGUCUAUUGAGAGUACUUAUUGGUAGGUUUUGACUUGGCAAACAUAUUGGUAGACGCCAAUAGUACCUGAUUAAACAACGGCAAAUGAGAACAAAAUAGCACGACUUAAAGGCAUUGUAUGAUACCCCUUAAACAAAUAUAAGAUGUUUUAAAUAUUUUAAUAUGGACUACAUACUGACUGGAAUGAGUGAACAAAUACGCUAAAAUGCGUCUACAGACAUUCAAAUCAAAAAAGAGCAUGUCAUCUAUCUAUAAAUGGAGAACCACAAUUGAGUGAAAAAAGUGCGUGCUGUAUUUUUCACUGAACUAAAAUUGCACUUUUACGAAUCGAUCACGACAUUAGACUAUCACAAUUGACAUAGACAGAUAUGGACUCUUUUGUUUCUGAUCGAUGUUGAUCAUGGUGACAUGUACUCGCGACUAUUAGUAUGGUUUGGUUUCAAUGAAAUUGGACCCGGGGGCACCGCUAUGCCACUCAUCUUAGAAAGGAAAUAACAAAGUGCCACCAAUAUAACCAAAAGAAGAAGAUGGGUGUAGUUUGUUGUCAAAACCAUCCAUUUUUAUAGAGAAGUCCUUUGUGAAGUAAUAUGAUAUGACUAGUAUGUCGGUUCAUUUAUAACUUCUAGUUUGGUUUUUGUUUGUUCAACAAACCUUACUAGUAAUUCCAUUUUCUUUUUUGAGAGGGUAUGAUGAAUAACCUUUUCUAGAUAAUCAUUUGCAUGCAUAGUUCGCUUUUGGUGUUUGUCUUUUUGAAGCAAACAAUGAUUCAACAUAUUUCUCUAGUGGGGGGCUCAUUAUUACUUGCCACCGAUCAAAGCAUUUCGUGCAGCUUAUAGGGAUAAGGGAGGCUUACUUAUCACAAAGUGCUAUGAGAAGAUGCAAAUUGUCAUUUUACCCGAGGCCGUCGUAGAGGAUACCCUUAUAGAAGUUUUAAAAAAAAACUUGUAUCAAGCAAGUAGGAGCUUCGUCAACAGAGGUGGUGGGUGUUUGUUUCCUGCAUGAAUUGGGGCUAGCGGGUGUUCAUUCUAAUGUCGGCAAUGAUGAUGUUCUUGUCUUUAUUCCGCAGAGUCCCUCGGGCAGGUGGUAUAUUUGGUUGAUGAUGUUGAUGUGUCUGNNNNNNNNNNNNNNNNNNNNNNNNNNNNNNNNNNNNNNNNNNNNNNNNNNNNNNNNNNNNNNNNNNNNNNNNNNNNNNNNNNNNNNNNNNNNNNNNNNNNNNNNNNNNNNNNNNNNNNNNNNNNNNNNNNNNNNNNNNNNNNNNNNNNNNNNNNNNNNNNNNNNNNNNNNNNNNNNNNNNNNNNNNNNNNNNNNNNNNNNNNNNNNNNNNNNNNNNNNNNNNNNNNNNNNNNNNNNNNNNNNNNNNNNNNNNNNNNNNNNNNNNNNNNNNNNNNNNNNNNNNNNNNNNNNNNNNNNNNNNNNNNNNNNNNNNNNNNNNNNNNNNNNNNNNNNNNNNNNNNNNNNNNNNNNNNNNNNNNNNNNNNNNNNNNNNNNNNNNNNNNNNNNNNNNNNNNNNNNNNNNNNNNNNNNNNNNNNNNNNNNNNNNNNNNNNNNNNNNNNNNNNNNNNNNNNNNNNNNNNNNNNNNNNNNNNNNNNNNNNNNNNNNNNNNNNNNNNNNNNNNNNNNNNNNNNNNNNNNNNNNNNNNNNNNNNNNNNNNNNNNNNNNNNNNNNNNNNNNUAGCGUGUCAAGGGUGUUUGUCGAUGUGUUUUUGUUGUGGUGUUGCAUCGAUGUAGUUUUGUUGUGGUGUUGCUUCAUAGAGUAGUAUGCAUUUCAUGUAACGCUUUUUCUUAUUUUUCUCUCGUAAACAAGUGUGUAACAAUUUUUUGUCUCAAUGUUUCGCCCAUAAUUGGGUAAUUCUCUUAUGCUUAAUUAAUCGGUCGUGGGGCUUUGAUCUCCUCUUUUGAAAAGAAAAUGAAGUGGACAAGCCGUAAAGGAUAAAUCAGAUUACACCAUCUUGAUUCCUGAGACUCAUUCAAAGUUCCUAGUGCUAGAAAAUGCAGGCUUUUGUGAAAUCAACUUGCUUUUGAAUAUUUCUUUCAGGCUUCCAUUGUACGAGUUCCGCCAGCCAACAGCACUGACGAAUUCUCGAAGAGAAAAAAACAGCACUGACGAACUUUUUGCAAAUCCUGCGAAUUAUUCCUGGAUCAGAAAAUACAACUGUGUCAUCGACUUGUGACUUCAUAUAACACUGAAUGCCAAGUACAGAUCGGGGCCCAAAAACAUCAGUUCGUGUCAACUUUUCUGGAGCACGGACAAAGAUCACGGGCGAGAAAUACAGGCGUGCGUACCAUAUGAACGCUUAAAAUGCUUGAAGGUCCAAAUUGAAGCAGACGGUGUUUCUGUUUCAGGCCAUGCAACUUUAUUUUUCUUGAACAUGCAUUACCGACAUCAUGAUGGGCAAUGAACUCCUCUUCUACAAAAAUAAAUAAAUUAUACUGUAUACUUAAAAAAAGAAGUAAGUAUGCAUUAUGCUUACUUGGUGCCUCUGAUUAUACAGCAAAACAAUUUACUGUUCUCUCGACGAUGCAACACAAAGCUCUAAACAAUAAAGAUAGAAUUAGCAAAUAUUUGCAACGUUAUGAUCUCAAAUUCUUAAGCCCUUGCAUGAUGAUGGACGACACUAAAUUAUUUCUUAAUAGCUACAACUAAUUAAAAAUGUUUGUGAAGUUUGAUUAUGAAUACUUAUAACAUUUUUUUGGGUAGAACUGGAGUCCUUGUCAGCAAAGUGUCAAAAAAGAAUCAUGCCCAAUCCAACUUCAAGGUCCCGUUUAGGGAGAACAAUGUUGAAUGAUGAUGCAACAUCACCGGCGUACAAGGCACGAAUUUCAGUGAAUUCGUCUGUCAGGGGACACACACGGUAUUUCAGUGAAUUCUUCUGUCAGGGGACACACACGGUAAGAGUUGCAUUGCAAAGUCACAUGCCAGGUCAGUAAAUUCAGGAGCUACCUGACUAGCUCACCAAGCACAGUACACUCUACACUUCUUCCUUUUGAAUGGAAUCGCUCAUGCUCAGAGGCUAGCGGCGCACGAUUUAUCUGUAGAAAACAUAAAUAAGUAUUACCAGUGUAUAUAAUAUAUUACAUCCGUAUUCUUAGAUUUAUCUAGAUAUAGAUGUAUCUAACACUAAAAAGUGUCUAGGUACAUCAGUACCUAGGUAAAUCCAAGACUAGUAAUUUGAGACGGAGAGAGUAAGGAACAGAAGUGUAAGUUAGUGCGUAAAAGAGAAGGAAAGAAAGAUGUGGUAACAAAACUUUGAGGAUAAUCUUAUUUCUUGCCUCAUGUAGCCGAUCAAUUGGUCACUGUGAUUUUUGCCACUAAUGGUGAUAUACUUCCACGUAAUUCACUGAAUGUUGAUAAAAACAACUAAAUACCCACGUACUAUCUCCAUCCUGAUUUAUUGGUCUUUUAGUAUUUUGUGCCGAAUUUUGAUCAUGGAUUUAGUUAACUAAAUGUUAAUGUAUGUCACAAAAAAUAGUAUUAUUGAAAAUUAUAUUUAAAUACAAAUUCAAUGAUAUAAUUUUUUAUGACAUGCAUUAACAUUUUGUUAGUUAAACCUAUGGUCAAAUUUUGACACAAAAUAAGAAAAGGACCAAUAGAUCAGGACGGAGGUAGUAAAUUACAAUCAAUAUUUGAUGUGUACCAGACAAGUGAUUACACAUAUUAUGCUCCCCACAUAAGUUCACUACAAUGAAUUGAGUAUGCUGCUAGAGAUAAGAAUGCCAAGAGAAUGGUCUAGGGGGAGGCGACCUCGAUAUGCUCCGAGGAAACACUUCGGUGUCCUCCUUCCCCACGAUGUCAGCACAGGAGAAGUUCAUGUUCUUCUUAUGCUCCAGCAUCUCUAACCAUGGAGCCAUUAUUAUGUCUCCCGCAAAACCGGGGUCAUCAAAGGCUGGCUUGAGGAAAAUUAAAUCAUUCUUGAUUAUCCAGUUGUCGCACAACACUUUACAUCCAGUCUUUUCAAAGUUUCAUCAAAUGAUGCUAUUGCAAUGUGGAAGCAGUGCGAUGCAGCCCUGUCAUUGCACCAACAUUCUUGUCAUUCGAGUUUCCGAGCUGUAAGCUUGCCGUCCUCCUAGUCAUAGGCUUUGGCAUGAAGGGGGUGCCCAACAUUUUAUCAAGGCCUUCGGCAUUGUACUUCACAUACUUGUUCGCAUUGAUGUCCUGCUCAACAAGCGGCCCGUAGUUCUGCAUGAAGCUACGAUAAACAGGCACUAUAGCCUGCACCACAAGGUGGCACACCCUCUGCUGCAGAUCCUUGUCUAGUGUGAUCCAGGCGGACAUGCUUCUGAUACAUCUCAUCAAAGCUGGCGUUGAAUGAUUUGAGUCGUUGCUUCACCAAGUCUCUUGCUGUAGCCUGGCCCUUGGAGAACAAGAUCAGACACUCCCUGCUCAGCGGGGGCGUACGUGUUCCUCGGCUCUCCCUUAGAAACAGUGCCGCGUAGUGGUAACCUAUCGAUCCGCGAACCGGUCCGAACGUCCGCUCUCUCACAAAUCGAGUGAAGGAGGAGGGCUUUUGCGGUCGUCUGGAUUGCUGCCACGCACUCAUCCGACACCCCGGUCCCACCCGACCCACGCCCUCUUCCGCGUGAAGCGGUUGUCGCGUAUUCGUGCCACUCGAGACUGCCAGCACCACAUCCAUUUCGUCCCAGACCGGACGCGACCUCACACUCUCGGGGGAGGUUUGGCGGUUGGCGUUGGAGACGCCCUAAUUAGCUGGGUUUCUGAAAGUUAAUUAAGGUCAUGUGCUGGUAUAGUCUGGUAAUUAAGCAGCCAGCCAGCCACGCAUGCUCAGCCAGAGUGUCCAACGCCAGUGGUGGUAGUACUACUAGCACAGUAGUGGUAGUAGUAUUUAUUUACCAGCAAGUAGAACGCAAUGUGGAACCAGCACGCCGCUAGUCCAGAAGGUCAACUACAGCUAGCCUAAAUCAGGAAUUUGGACGCGACAGCCGCUCGCCGCUCGCCAGUCCGUUCCACGCUCCAUCACCCUCUUUUGGAACUGACCGUGCUCACGUACACCGCGCACAUCAGUCGGCGCACGGCGUACCGCUGGGUCAGCCGGUGGCGAUGGCGAUCACCAACCGUCCGGCCCGGCCAUUAACUAAGUUUACUCCACCGGCCCCUUCAAAAAAAAAAAAGUUUACUCCACCGGCCGAACUCACGCCCAACCAACCCACAUUGAAGCGCUCCAUCGACUGCACGCCAACAUGGCAGCGGCUUCGGCCGGGACAGAAGCUUCCGGUGCGUGCCGAUCCACGUUGCUUCCACGGCAUCCUUUCCUUUGUGGUAUCAAGUUUCCCAUGCCCCGUCGCAUACAGACGUGAACUCCGCUGGCGUGCACCCACACCCAGGUAGACACGGCUCGGGUGCACCCAACCCAACUCGCUGGCGUGUCAGCGUGCGGGCGAGCAACAAAAGUGGCAAAGUAGCACCCCCACGCACAAAGCGGUGGCAUCCAUCCGUCCGUCCAAUCCGAGUGCGCGUCCAGCAGAGAGAGCCUGGCCCUGGCGUGAGUGCGUGACAGAUUGAAGUGAGCGUAGGCAGUAAUUGCGGUGAAAGAAACUCGCAGGGACGCACGCACAGUGGUAAACAUCAACGACGUAAACAACCUCGGAGCCGCCCUGACAGCAACCACAGACCGGAGCGGAGCAGGACCAGCGCGAGCCGAGCGGCGGAGGCCGGAGCGCGUGCCUUCAGUUUCGACUCUCCCUCCCUCGCUCCCGUGGAAAAACUCUCCCCUUUUCCGCCUCCCCCUUUCUUUCCAAGUCCAACCUAAACCUCAGCCCCGCUCCACCUCCCCCCGCCUCUGCCCCGCACGCCACACCACAGCACCCACCUCUCCGGACGGGCGCCCGUCGCCGUCGCCAUCGCCUUUUCCCCCUCCCUCCCUCCCCGCGCCGGAUAAGUAGUACGCACUCGCUUGCAAGGGACGCCGGACCUCGAGCUCCCACCGGCCGGCAGAUUGAUUCCUACACCAAUUCCUGCGAGCCAGAGCGAGGGACAAGCCCGCCCGCGGCCGUGGGCGUCGAGCGGUCCGUCCGACGCGCAUUCGGAGGGCGAGGCCGUGCGCUACCACCGGGGGAUGGGGAUGGAUCAGGGGGCGGAGGAGGCGCGGCGGAUGGCGAGCCUGCAGGCGGCGCGGAGCGCGCUGCGGGCCGGGGUGGAGCGGUCGCGGGCGCUGAGCCACGCGCUGGCGCGGACGGGGGCCCGGGUCGGGGAGAUCCAGGCGCGGCUGGCGGCCACGGAGGCCGGGGUGCGCCCGAUCCGCGCGCCGCGGGACGCGCUCGAGGGGGCCGGCCCCAACAUCGACCGCGCCGUGGGGCCCGCCGCGGCCGUCCUCAAGGUGUUCGACGCCGUGCACGGCCUCGAGCCGCCGCUCCUCGCCGGGGCCGCCGCCCGGGAGGACCUCCCGGGCUACCUCGCCCUCGUCGCCCGCCUCGAGGAGGCGCUCCGCUUCCUCGCCGACAACUGCGGCCUCGCCGUCGACUGGCUCUCCGACAUCGUCGACUACCUCGGCAAGCGCAGCCUCGCCGACCCUCGCUUCGUGGCCGGCCUCGCCGGGGCGCUCUCGAAACUCAAGGGCGUCCCCGCAGCCGACCUCGACGCCGGCCUCCUCACCGCCGCCCUCGACGUGCUCGAGGCCGAGUUCUGCCGCCUCCUCGCCGAGCACUCUGCUCCGCUCGCGAUGCAGGAGGACCCCGACAAGGCCAAGCCCGCACCCGCCUCCAUCACGCCGCCGAGGAUCCCCGCCGCCGCCGUGCAGAAGCUGGGCCUCACCCUUGACCGCCUCGCCGCUAAUGGGCGGCUCAGCUACUGCGUGGCGGCGUACGCCGACGCUCGCGGGGACACGGUGAGCGCCAGCCUCCACGCGCUCGGCCUGGAUUACCUGCAAGACCAGACGCAGGAUGCUCAGGCGCUGAGCCCGAGCGUCGAGCUCUGGGGCCGGCAUUUGGAGUUCGCGGUGCGCCACCUAUUGGAAGCUGAGCGGAAGCUCUGUGUUGCUGUCUUCGAGCGCUGGCCAGAAGCCGCGGCCGCUUGCUUCGCGGACAUUGCGGCGCGCGCUGGAAUUCUUGAUUUCCUCAAGUUUGGCCGUGCCGUGGCUGAUGCCAAGAAGGACCCCAUCAAGCUCCUGAGGCUGCUUGAUGUGUUUGAUUCUCUCAGCAAGCUCAGAUUGGACUUCAACCGGUUGUUUGGUGGAAAGGCAUGCCUGGAGAUCCAAAGCAGGACCAGAGAGCUUGUGAAGAGGGUGGUGGAUGGCUCUGUUGAGAUUUUUGAGGAGUUGCUGGUGCAGGUGGAGCUGCAGCGCAAGAUGCCACCCCCAGCUGACGGCGGAGUGCCAGGCCUGGUUACCUUCGUCCCCAAGUACUGCAACCAGCUCCUUGGGGAGCAAUAUCGGCCUGUGCUCACACAAGUGCUCACCAUCCACCGCAGCUGGCGCAAGGAGGCGUUCAACGACAAGAUGCUCGUCGAUGCAGUGCACAACAUUGUUAAGGCCCUGGAGGCCAACUUCGACACAUGGGCAAAGGCGUAUGAGGAUAAGACACUGUCAUCUCUCUUCAUGAUGAACACACAUUCGCACUUCUUCAAGCACCUGAAGAGCACUAAGAUGGGGGAGAUCUUAGGCGAUGAGUGGCUCCGGGAGCAUGAGCAGUACAAGGACUACUACUCGGCAUUGUUUCUAAGGGAGAGCUGGGGAACGCUUGCGCCGCUGCUGAGCAGGGAGGGUCUGAUCUUGUUCUCCAAGGGUCAGGCUACAGCAAGGGACUUGGUGAAGCAGCGGCUCAAAUCGUUCAACGCCAGCUUCGAUGAGAUGUACCAGAAGCAGUCCGCGUGGAUCAUACCGGACAAGGAUCUGCAGCAGAGGGUGUGCCACCUUGUGGUGCAGGCUAUAGUGCCUGUUUACCGUAGCUUCAUGCAGAACUACGGGCCGCUUGUCGAGCAGGACAUCAGCGCGAGCAAGUACGUCAAGUACAGCGCUGAAGGCCUUGACAAGAUGCUUAGCACCCUCUUCAUGCCGAAGCUUAGGACUAGGAGGACUGCAAGCAUGCAGAUCAGAAACUCAAAUGGCAAGAUUGCCAGUGCAGUGACUGGGCUGCAGCGGAGUGCUUCAACAUUGCAAUAGCAUCAGUUGAAGAAACUCCAGAAAGAUUGGAUGUACAGUAGUGUUGUGCAAUAACUGAAUAAUCAAAGAAUGAUUUAAUUUAUUUCGAGCCAGGCGUUGAAGAUCCCGGUUGUGCGGGAGACAUAGUAAUCGCUCGAUGAUAAUAAGAGCUGCUGGAGCAUAGUAAGAACAUAGACUUCUCCAGCACUGACAUAGUGGGGGGAGAAGGAAACUGAAAUCUUUCCUCAGAGCAUAUGGAUGCCCCCUUCCCCUAGAUCAUUAUAUUCGCAUUCUUAUCUCUAGCAUUCAUAUACUCUAUUUGUUUUAGGAAACUUAUGUGUGGAGCAUAAGAUGUGUAAUCAGUUGUCUGGUAUAUGUCAAAGAUUGGUUGUAAUUUAGGUGGGUAUUUAGUUGUUUUUAUCAAUGUUCAUUGAAUUAUAUGGAAGUAAGUGUAUUACUGCCUGUGACAAAAAUGACUGAUCAAUUGACUGACUAACAUGAGGCAAGAAAACAGUCUAUCUUCGAAGUUUCGGUUCCACAUGUUUCUUUCUUUCUCUUUACGCACUAACUUACCGUUUUGUUACCUAUUAUGUAUAUACUGCUACUUCUGUAUGCUCUGUUCUACAGAUAAAUCAUGCGCCCGUGUGCGGCGCUAGCCUCUGAACACGAGUGUUUCAUGCGAAAAGAAUUAGUGAACAGUUUACCUUGCUUGGUGAGCUAGUCAGGUAGCUCCAGAAUUUACUGACCUGGCAUAUAUAUAACUUUGCAAUGUAACCUGAAUUUACUGACCUGGUAUAGACUUUGCAAUGCAACUGCUAACUGUGUGUGUCCAGUCACAGAAGAAUGGACUGAAAUUCGUACCUUGUACGCCGGUGAUGGUUCUUCCUCAACGCGGUCUUGAAUUUCAAUUGAGCAUGAUUCUUUUUUGACACUUCGCUAACAAGGACUCCAGUUCUACCAAAAAAAAAGAGGAGAUGUUGUCUCAGUAUUUGUAAUCGAAUUUCACAACCACUUCUCAUUUGUAUAGCUACUAAGAAAUUUGAGGGUCGACCAUCAUCAUGAAGGGCUUAAAAAUUGGGAAACUCUUACCAUCACCCGGCAGAUCGCAGCGUCCGCGUCCGCCACCUCCCCUGCCUUGCACGUGUCCCAGUGAGAGCUCACACACCAUCCUUUGUCGAACGCGCUUCUGCAAUAGGAGCUAUGUUUUUGAAACAUAUGUGGUGUUGCAAUGGUCUAUGACAGGUAUACGCUUUGCAACAAAAUAUCACUUACGAAAUUUUUCUGCAACAAGACCUCGGUUGCAAAAAAAAUUGCAACAAAAACCCAGUUGCAAAAAGAUGCAAGAAAACAACUGUUGCAGAAAAAUCCGGCAACAAGACAUGUGUUGCAGAAGUAAUCCUGCAACAAGACCUUUGUUGCAAUGAUGAAGGCACGUUUGAGCGCUCGAUGUGGCUUUUAAAAAAAAUCAGCCGGCGGACGCGUAGCACACCCCUUAAAAAUUUGACGAAGUUGUAAAUAUUUGCUAAUUCUGUCUUUUAUUGUUUAGAGCUUUGCUGCUUGGUUGCAAUAUAAAUGGCUGAAUAUGUAUGCGGAAAUGCUCUUUGUGCCGCGUCGACGAGAGAACCAUAAAUCUGUCUGUUGCAUAAUCAGAGGCACCAAGUAAGCUUAAUGAGCUAUAAUUCAUGUUAAACCAUGUAUCAGCCCCCACAAAAAAAUCAUACUGUAAGCACCAAAAUAAGUAUCAUUGAAUAUUGAAGUAUAGAUGUAUACUUACUUUUAUUUUGUAGAAGAUGAGUUCAUUGCCCUUCAUGAUGUCGCAAAUCGACAAAGAUCAUCCAGACCUGGCAUAUCUGCAACGACGCAGUGCUGGUAAUUAGUUGCCUGGCCUGAAAUAGAAACACCGUUUGCUUCAAUUUGGACCUUAGAGCGUGUACAAUGUGUUGAGUCUUAAGAAUGACCCAACACAUAUAUUGUCUAUGAAAGGUACAUUUCUGUGAGCAAAUACUUCCUAAGAGUGUGUCUGUGCUCAUCGUCACUCAAUCUCCUUAAAUUUCUGUCACUUGCGAACUAAGAUACGUGGUUCCCUCAUCGCCACCAAAUUCCCCUAAAUUCAUUGUCCCUUGCAAAGUAAGAUACGCCGUUCCAAGAACUGAUUCAAAGUAGAUUUCUGUCAACACAAUACGUCUCCUCUUUCUUCCUUUUUUCCCUUAUUUAUGCACGAGACCAACUAGUUUAGACACGGUACGACUACAUUAUGAUUCAUAAAUUAGCAUUAUGUUUUAUACAUCAUUCAAUCAGACAAAUAAGAUGAACAUGCCAUAAUUUUACCACAUGGUACAUCAAGCAUCACAUACAAGGAAACAUAAACAACAACUUGAAGAAACAUCAUAUGCAACAUCACCACAAUCCUUGACCAUGUCAAAUCAUGGACAUACCUUCAAUCGUCGUGAGAAAGAUGCCCUUGCAGACCACCUUCCAAGGCCGCCGCCCUGGCAUCCAGGAUCCCGCGCCCACUCGUACCGCUACCCGACACCAAGGCCACCAGCCACCGUGGGACGGGACCGAAAGGCACCUCCUUUCACAUCCCCGGGAACCCCUACCCCACUUCCAUGACCGGAACAAGGGGAAGACCAACCACAUCGGAGAACCCUAGGCCAGACCCAUUAGAUCUGGAUGAGUACAAGCAUCGACGGCAUCCACGACGGGAAGACACCUCCUUACCACAUCCCCAUGAGCUCUGGGCUCUGGUCGUCCAACCAUGAUCGGCAUGGGGAGGAGUCACGCCCACAAGCCCCUAGGUCGUCCUGCUGGAUCUAGGCGAGGUCAGUUACCCAAGGCUUCUGCCCCGACUAGAUCUGGCCAAGGGAAAGCAACAUAAGGUGGACGACAGGCCACUACCUUGAUCACGACGGUCGCACCCGUCUUGGCCGUGGCCCCCAAGCGUGAGGG
This 29176-nucleotide long non-coding RNA is filed under the name Triticum aestivum (bread wheat). RNAcentral's name for it is "long non-coding RNA (TAES_LNC015166)". The stretch from base 294 to 429 matches the Rfam family "MIR1120/MIR1122 microRNA precursor family". Lineage: Eukaryota; Viridiplantae; Streptophyta; Magnoliopsida; Poales; Poaceae. The record is from RNAcentral.